GUUUAUUAUAUAUAACCAAAUACACGCUGAAUUUUAUAUAUACGUAUCAUUGGAAAAGUAAUAAAAGUUGUAGAAAUGGAAUUGAAUUUUUAUCAAUUGUAUAUUACAGUCUCGAAUACUGCUGGUAUCAUAAAUUCAGUCUACGGCUAGAAAUUCAAUUUGGAUUUAAUUCAAUGAACGAAACGUGUGGAUUUAACACCGGAAAACGCAAACUCAAACGUUAGAAUAAAACAAAAAAUACUAAAUAAAUGAGAGCACCACCACUAACAGAUGGUAAAAGAAAACAUCGUGAGGAAACCUGGUCUUAUAAUUUCAAAUUAUAAGAUUGAAAUCGCCAACCCGUCUUGAACAAGCGUGGUGAUUAAUGCUCUCACCUUCUCCAUGUGAGAAGAAGCCUUUCUCAGCAGUGGGCUCCGAUAGGCUGAUGAUGAUGAUAAUGAUGUUGUUUAGAUAUAGUGUUGGGGUUGUAUUGUAGAACCAUUGCACAUUAAUUAGCACUUUUAAAAUUACCUAAAAUCUGAUUAAAAAAAAUUUAAUCUCUAUUCCUAUUGGUAUCAUUAAGCGUAUUAUUUGCCGUCAUAGUUUUGUGAAAGAUUCUAAUUGUAGGAGAAAACAAAUGAACAAAAUAUAGGACUAAAAUUUAAUUUUUAUAGAAAUAACCCGUAUAUUUUUAAGUACUUUAGUCUGAAUUGUGGCUAUAGGCCAUUGCGCCAAGCUGCAUUGCGGUGUAAUAGUAGGCGUUACAUCUCAAAUAUAAUGUGAACAUCGCAUAUUUAUUUUAAGGAAGAUCUUCUUUUAUUCAAAUAGUAUUAAAUUGAAUUUCUGACUAGAUCCAUUAAUACUAAUAUUAUCUCUACGCAGUAUGGAGAAGUCGUUUACUGUUUCGUUUUUUAUUGCAGAUAUCUAGGUAUAGUCCGCGAGGUUAAGCUGAGCUUUGCAUUUGCGUGAGUGAAAGCAAAAGUAAAGUCAAACAAAAAAUUUAGAAUUGAAUUUUUUUAUUUUUAAAUAGAUACAUAACAGAAGUGGGAGAGCUAUUCUAAAUUUAAAAUAAAUUAAUCAAGGCAUGUUGAAAAAAAAAAUACAAUAAUUUAUGAAUUCAAAAUAUUAAAAAAAAUAUACGAACUCUUCCUCAAUUUAUAUUUUUAGGUCAAUAAUUUCUUUAAAAUAACUAUUUAAAUUACACUUUUUUUUUACAUUGUUAUUUAAAGGUUUAAAUAUGCUUCGUUUAUUUUUGUUAGAAUCCAUUUCAAAACUAGAAUACAAAAAUUAAAUAUUAAGUAAAGCAGUAUAAAGCGGUCUUAACCUAGAAAAGCACGUGGCACGCACAAAUUUGACAUCACACCUACACUAUCUGUGUGCACUCACACAAAUGCAAAUCUCAACUUACGCCUCACGCACUAUAGUAAUUAUGUGUUUUACCCUUACUAAAAAAUUGCAAUUUAACAAACAAUGUCAUUUUCUCGUUCUAUCUAAAUUGAAAUGAAAUUAAAAAUUUAUGUUUAUCUCUCCGCAUCACUUUAAUAUUGCGUGACAAAGUUGGAGUGCAAUUUUAAUGUACAUAGAUUAUAUCAUAUCCUAGUAUAAAUAUGUUCUUGUAUAUACAUAUUUAUAAAAUAAUGUAUAAAAUAGUUAUUAAUUGCAAGCUUGUGUAAGUAUUAAUGUUUGCGCUUUAAAAAAUUUAAAUCAAGUCUAGCUUAUUAAAAAUUUUCUUAAUUAAUUCUAUAAAUACAAAAAAGAUUACUAAGCCAAUGCAUUCUUAUAUCAAAUCUCAGUUAUGAAACGUUUCCUUUAAUGAUAGAAAUAAAAAUAUUUUUAUCGAAAUUUAUUUUUGCCAAUUAAUUUCUGAACUAAUAAAAAUAGCAGACUUUUUUCGAUUGCGGAGAAAAGAUUCUUUCAUUAAUUUAAUUAUUAGAGAGAAUGUGUCAAAUGACAUUAGUUUCUUUUAAAUCGUUAUAAAUGAACAAGGUUAUGAUUAAACACGAGAAACUACAAAUUUGAAUGACGAAAAACAGAAUCAAUGUUGUACUUUUGACAAUGGUUUACAUCAUAUUAGUUUGUAUGCAUUGUUAUAUAAUAAUUCGUUCAAAAUAAAAAUAAUAAUGACACUAAAUUAUGUUACUGCUAUUGUAAAUUUAUAAUGGUAUUAUUAUAAUAAUUUUAAAUUUGUCUCGCAUUCUCCCUUAACCAUUUCAGAUGGAAAACUUUGUGUUAAAAUUUAAUAUUUGUUCCAAAAGUUAGAAGGAUAGUGUUACUUUAAUAUAUUACUUUAUCUUACAAAAACUAGAACACAUCGUAGUUAUAGAGUUAUUUCUUGAAACUCUGAAAGUAUGAUGAAAUAAUUUUCUCCUUAUAAGGCAUUAAGAUUAAGCUGAAACAAUAAUAUUUUUUAAAUAAAAAGUUGCGAGGUAAUUUGACAUAUGCGUAAAAAUGUAAAUAGUGAAAAUAUAGGAUCUUGAAUUGAAUUUAUUUGCUAAUAUGUCUUCCUUGGUCUUACGUUUUCCUUAAUCGAUCGGAGAAGAAGACAUCAGGGAGUUUCAAGAUUUUAUAUUCCUUUAUAUGCCAUCAAUUUACAAAACUUAAUUUAUUUAUUAAAUAAAUUUUCUUUGCUUAAAAAUAAUUUCGAUGCAAACAAGUAUUUAUUUCUUGGUGUAAUAAUUUAUUUUCUGACGUUAUAACUUAGUAUACUACUUAUAUAUAACUAAUACUACUUUAUUAAUUACAUCUAACAAGCUUAAACGCGAAAUAUGUUAAAAAAAUAUAUUGAAUAUUCAAUGUUCAUUUUAAAAAUUAUUACAAUGAAAUAUGUCUAGAUUAAAAUAUAUCUAUUUCAGUUCACUAAUGUCUUUCUAUAAAAAUAUCACUCGUAAUCGUGUUAUCGUUUGUUAGCCACUGACUUUGCAGCAUGUUUAUUUUGUAAUAAACGACCUAUGUUCCUUAUCACCGAUCAUUGAUUAAACAAUGUAUAAAGUACCAAAGUCAUAGUAAUUUUUAGUAAACAUUAAUUUAUACACACGGGCUAGUUAUUAGUCUUCUAGAAAAUGUACCUACAAUUCUGCAGAAACUUUC
Long non-coding RNA from Danaus plexippus (monarch butterfly), 3066 nucleotides. RefSeq lists it as uncharacterized. The record is from RefSeq and is a predicted model, not a curated record. NCBI's taxonomy places the organism in Eukaryota, Metazoa, Arthropoda, Insecta, Lepidoptera, Nymphalidae. The transcript is spliced from 3 exons.